This 253-nucleotide ribosomal RNA is filed under the name uncultured bacterium. RNAcentral describes it as "partial 16S ribosomal RNA". It matches the Rfam family "Bacterial small subunit ribosomal RNA", at positions 524 to 776 of the family's 1533-position model. The record is from RNAcentral.
UACAGGGGGGGCAAGCGUUGUUCGGAAUUACUGGGCGUAAAGCGUGCGCAGGCGGCUUUGCAAGACAGAUGUGAAAUCCCCGGGCUUAACCUGGGAACUGCAUUUGUGACUGCAUGGCUAGAGUGCGGCAGAGGGGGAUGGAAUUCCGCGUGUAGCAGUGAAAUGCGUAGAGAUGUGGAGGAACACCGAUGGCGAAGGCAGCCCCCUGGGCUGAGAUUGACGCUCAGGCACGAAAGCGUGGGGAGCAAACAGG